CAUACAGUGUGUGUGUGUACGAGGGAAGUGAGUGGUGAAGCAAGAGAGAGAGCGCGGCGGUGACGGGAGCGAGUAGCGUUAACGACUCCGGCCCAAGCAG
This is a long non-coding RNA of Sebastes umbrosus (honeycomb rockfish), 100 nucleotides long. RefSeq lists it as uncharacterized. The record is from RefSeq and is a predicted model, not a curated record. NCBI's taxonomy places the organism in Eukaryota, Metazoa, Chordata, Actinopteri, Perciformes, Sebastidae. The transcript is spliced from 3 exons.